Molecule: long non-coding RNA, 520 nt
Organism: Pomacea canaliculata
Lineage: Eukaryota; Metazoa; Mollusca; Gastropoda; Architaenioglossa; Ampullariidae
Exons: 3
Source: RefSeq, a predicted model, not a curated record
CAUUGUUUUUUAAGCAGUAGAAUCAGCAGUAACUGCAGUAGAAGGAGGCCUUGGACUAUUGUCUUACACUAAAAGCUCUGCCACCUUCUGCAGGGACGGAGUCGUGCUACAUAGGUCUAGACACGUAUGAAACAGAUGAGUUGAACAACACCAGUAUCUGCACCAACAAAAUUUGCAACGACAAAGUGAACACAGUGGACUGCGGAGAAGCGGUGGCGCAGUGGCUGUGUGAGACGUUCGAGAGACCGGAGCUGCGUCUGUUGCGGCAGCUGCACGAUGACAGUCGACACAGCAAACGCAAGGACGUGGCAGCAGGAGAUACAGAGAAUGUGCCUGGUUUGCAAAUCUUGACUGAUGGUGAAUCACGGGCCUUAUCAUCUGUCACGUCCAUCCAUCUACUCCCCUCAACGAUCGGCAUCAGUCGAGGGAUGAAUAAAUGUCCACAAACUACCAGCACGUGGGGAGCUGUAGUAUCUACUAAGGUUUAGCAGCAAAGGUAAAACAUUUCCGCUCAUGCACA